This 351-nucleotide RNase P RNA is filed under the name Desulfovibrio sp. RNAcentral describes it as "RNase P RNA component class A". It matches the Rfam family "Bacterial RNase P class A". From Rfam's summary of the family: Ribonuclease P (RNase P) is a ubiquitous endoribonuclease, found in archaea, bacteria and eukarya as well as chloroplasts and mitochondria. Its best characterised activity is the generation of mature 5'-ends of tRNAs by cleaving the 5'-leader elements of precursor-tRNAs. Lineage: Bacteria; Pseudomonadati; Thermodesulfobacteriota; Desulfovibrionia; Desulfovibrionales; Desulfovibrionaceae. The record is from RNAcentral.
GAAGCCGGCCGGGCCAUCGCUGCGGAGAUUGCUCCGGAGAGGAAAGUCCGGGCUCCACAGGGCAAGGCGCUGGGUAACGCCCAGAGGGAGCGAUCCCUGGCAAGCGCAACAGAGAGCAGACCGCCAGAAAACUGGCAAGGGUGAAAGGGUGGCUUAAGAGACCACCGGAUGCGGCGGCGACGCCGCAUGCCAGGCAUGCCCCGCCUGGAGCAAGACCAAAUAGGGAAGGUGGCUGGCCCGGCCAUUGCCUUCCGGGUAGGUUGCUGGAGGGCGCGGGCAACCGCGCUCCUGGAGGAAUGAUGGCCGCUGCCAUUUGCAGAACAGAACCCGGCUUACAGGCCGGCUUCCAUU